CCUACGGGUGACAGCAGUGGGGAAUAUUGCGCAAUGGGCGAAAGCCUGACGCAGCAACGCCGCGUGAGGGAUGAAGGUCUUCGGAUCGUAAAACUCUGUCAGCAGGGAAGAACGGUCACUGUGCUAAUCAGCAGUGAAUUGACGGUACCUGCAAGGGAAGCACCGGCUAACUCCGUGCGAGGAGCCGCGGUAAUCCGGAGGGUGCGAGCGUUACUCGGAAUUACUGGGCGUAAAGCGCUCGUAGUCGGUAUGUCAAGUCAAGGGUGAAAUCCCCGCGCUCAACGUGGGAACGGCCUUUGAAACUGGCAAACUGGAGUGUGUGAGAGGAUAGUGGAAUUCCAGGUGUAGGAGUGAAAUCCGUAGAUAUCUGGAGGAACAUCAGUGGCGAAGGCGACUAUCUGGCACAUAACUGACGCUGAGGAGCGAAAGCGUGGGUAGCAAACAGGAUUAGAUACCCGAGUAGUC
RNAcentral lists this ribosomal RNA (465 nucleotides) under uncultured bacterium. RNAcentral's name for it is "partial 16S ribosomal RNA". It matches the Rfam family "Bacterial small subunit ribosomal RNA", at positions 338 to 795 of the family's 1533-position model. The record is from RNAcentral.